CGGCUAAAGUUCGUGUGAUACGAUUGCAGCGAACUCCGAGUCCCCCGCCGCCGCGCAGCCGCCGUCUCCGCGCUCGGUGCGUAAGCGCUUUGGCUCCGCCAGCGAGGAGACCAUCCUCAAGCAAGUGAACGGCGCUGGCGGCGAAGGCGGCUGCGUGUCUCUCGCCGAAUGGGAGGCCUUCAAGCAGGAAAUGCUGAGGGAAGUGCGAACGCAGAUGGCGCACGUCAAGAGGGACAUACUAGACGCAAUUAAGGCGGAGCUAGCGCGCAGGUAAUUCACGCGCGUUGUCCUCUCAUCCUAGUCCGGCCAACUGGUGAACACAUAUUUUGAAUACACGUAACAUCUAUUACUGUUGUAAACAGCUUAAUUAAGUUUUUAUAUGUUCUAUUUACUAAAGUCUCAGUAAAGAUAAAUUUUACUCAAGUUUACGAUUAGUUUCGGUAUCCCAUCGUUAUGUUAGUUAACUAAUCAGUUAAAGCCUUUAAAGUUUGAGGUUUUUGUUUGUGUAUGUACCAUGUUACUCCGAAACUUGGACUUUAGAAAAUAUUACUGUUUGAAAAAGGUAACCCGAACUCUUGUUUUGCGAAACAAAGAAAAAAUGUCGACACGGUAGUGUGCCAAGCCAAGUUAGGCAAAACUGAUGCACUUCAACAUUUUUUUUAAUCAUUAAAUGUAUCCGUUUUUUGUUUGUCAAUUUUCAAAUAUAUUUUGGUUAAAUUACUUAGUUAGAGUAUGAGGUUAUGUGCCUGUAACAAGAAAUUUUAUAUAAGGUAAUCCUUUAUAAUGGGUCUAUUUAAAGAAUUUGGCCUUAAUUAUUGUAUUAAUAACUUUUCUUAAACGAUCUUAAUUCGUGUCAAUUUUUACACGUUUUUACUAAUUUUUUUCACCCAUUGCGCAAGAGUCCGAAAGAUGGUAAUGGUGGGUGUGUUUUUUAUACGGUCAUAGAAAACCCUGAAGUGACGUUGAAAUGAUAUCAAAAUAUUUGUUCAUCUACGGCUUAUAUGUGAUCAAACGAACGUAUUACGUAAAUUUAGAGAUACCGCCUCGCUACAGUGUGGACAUGUCGAAAAAAACAACGACUUUAAAAAAGCAACAUAAUGUUGCCAGUCGAAAAAAUUCAAAAUCGGUCUAGAUUUUACUAAUCACUUGUAUUGUCUAAUCGAGUAUUUUAGAAGAAAAAUAAAACAAUGAUUUUUUCGGCAAAUAUCUUUUUGUCCCAAAAAAAAUCUCGAUUAAAUAAUAAAAUAACUAUAAUUGAUCGAUUUUCAAUUCGUAAUUGAUACUUAGCGCACUAACGUCGAUGCAUAAAGUUGUGUUUUUUUAAUUUUAUACUUAAAAAUAUUUAUUCGGAUACGUAGUGUGUAAGAGUUCGGACAUUUUAUAAUGAUGGUGUAUUGCUGUUGCUUUCUGUUUAAUUUUUAAACUAAAAAAAACGGAACACAUUUUUUGUAUAUGAAUACGAAGACUGUCUAAAACACCAUCCAUCCACCAUCUCAUCUUUGACCUGCAUGCAGUACCGUGCCCUAAAAUCCAUUGGAGUAUAAGAAUUUUUUAUAACGCUCUUAAAACAAAUAUAUCUUUCUAGAAUACGAGAUAUCAUCGAAAAUAUACUGUGUUUCAUGUUUUAUGUCCAACCAUUAACAAAAACCAAUAGCAAAACACCUUAAAAGUUUAAAAUAUACGUGUAAUAUUCACCUAGCAUUAUCAUGUAACUAGUAUUACUCGAUAUUUAUUGACGUAACGCGUAUUUUGUACGCGGCGGUACUAAGUAAGGUAUUAUACAUAUUAUUAAAAAUAUAUUAUUGAAUGUAUGCCAGUUUCGUUCGCCGAGUGGACAUCUUUUAGUGUAUUUGUUUAUCGCUAGGACAGCCAUCUUCCCGUUCAAGUCUUCCAUACAACAUAAGUAUUAAAUAACAGAUUGAUACAUUUACUUUAUUUGAAUUACAUCUUUCUCUUUGCCAUUAGGAAAACAAACUUUUUGUCCCUCGGUCUUUUGCUUUGUAAAAAAAUAAGUAUACACAUAGAACAAUUCGUAAGGUCUAGUGGUUAGUUCCGUAGUACGGUUUGCUAGAAGACGUUGGUUCGAAUCCAGCCGGAUCAAUGGAAUUUCUUCUUAGUGUUCAAUCUAUUGUUUACGAUGUUAGUAAUUAUAGUCCUGCGAAGUUGUUAGUGUUUUACAAAUAUACCAGUAUAUCUCCGUGACAUAAUCGACCAGGACCCCGAUUCAGAACUCUUUGAUUUUAACAGAAUCGUUCAAUUGAAUAUCGUUCUCAAAUGGAAGGGCGCUUUCCGAGCUUCAUGAUACGACAUCGUAAUCCAACAGCGUUUACGGAGUUUCUGUGAAAUAGAUUAUAAAAAAAAAUGAAAAUCAACUCAACGAAAAAUUAGUCUCGCAUUAACAUAAAGUAAUAAAAUUGAACAAAAUUCAGACGUUUUAAAAUAAUAAGAGAUUUCCACAUUACGUUUGUAAACAAUAGGACGUUCGGUAAGUUUCAUUCGAUAACCGUGUUCUGAAUAACCUAACCUAAUCGAUUUCAGGUCGGUUUCGAAUACGACAUUUUGACGCUCGAUUCGGGUGUUGUGAAUAAAAAUGAAAAGAAAUCGGUCGACAACUGAGUUAUCGUAACGUUCUGAAUCGACCCCCUGGAAUAAGGAGAUUUUUUUUUUUUGUAAUAAAUAUUUCGUGUCAUAUCAUAAUUCGUAUCAUAAUCAUUUUGCCCCACAGUGAUAAAUUGUUUUAAAACCGAUAUUGCAACGCCUAGAAUAGCUUAGCACACCUAAAAAUCGCCAAGUUUUUUGGUGUCCAUCUUACUAGAGCAACGUCAUAGGCCAAACUAGUGUAAGUGCUUCA
Molecule: long non-coding RNA, 2851 nt
Organism: Hyposmocoma kahamanoa
Lineage: Eukaryota; Metazoa; Arthropoda; Insecta; Lepidoptera; Cosmopterigidae
Exons: 3
Source: RefSeq, a predicted model, not a curated record